Dreissena polymorpha is the source of this 636-nucleotide long non-coding RNA. RefSeq lists it as uncharacterized. The transcript has 3 exons. Lineage: Eukaryota; Metazoa; Mollusca; Bivalvia; Myida; Dreissenidae. The record is from RefSeq and is a predicted model, not a curated record.
AGCAGCGAUAUGCGCAGUUGUGUUACUCGCUCGGUUUAUUUCACGUUUUACACUCAAUGCGGCUAUUUUCGGUCAUUUUUCUUAACAUUUUAAAUCGCGUUCGUAUUAGUAUUGGAGUAAUGGAAGUGUUGUUGAUGAUAUUAUUUGGUCUUCUGGGGCUCGCCCUGGGUGAGGAUCAGUACGAGGAAUACGAGUGCGACAGCGCCGCAAACGCAUCCGUUGGAUAUGUUCUGCUCAUCACGUGCCUUCUAGUGCAUUUGGCAUUGACUUUUCGUCAGGAGAGAGCAUUUUAGGACAACUCGUACUCAGCGAUUCUUCGCACGUGUGUGGCUCAUCGGCCCUUUCCAUACGACAAGAUUUGCAUUCAGAAUGCGUUAUUUUAUUGAACAAACGGGUUGUGAAAGUCUCUUUGAACACUUCAAUAAUACAAAUCAACAUUUUAAAAACUCGAGUGUAGUCACAAAUGCAAUAUUAGAACUUAACAGUAACAACCGACAAGCCUUUGGCACAUUUUUUUUUUAUUGUAUGCUUGACCAGAAAUAUGUACUUAUGUCAGGGACAUGCAUGCUGUAUAUGAAGUGUUGUGUUGCGCAUUAAAUACGUGUUUCUUUAUUGAAAUAAAAUGAAAGAAAUUGC